UUGAGCUUGAUCCCUGGCUCAGAGUGAACGCUGGCGGCAGGCCUAACACAUGCAAGUCGAACGGCAGCACAGCAGUAGCAAUACUGUGGGUGGCGAGUGGCGGACGGGUGAGGAAUGCAUCGGAAUCUGCCUAUUUGUGGGGGAUAACGUAGGGAAACUUACGCUAAUACCGCAUACGUCCUACGGGAGAAAGUGGGGGACCUUCGGGCCUCACGCAGAUAGAUGAGCCGAUGCCGGAUUAGCUAGUUGGCGGGGUAAAGGCCCACCAAGGCGACGAUCCGUAGCUGGUCUGAGAGGAUGAUCAGCCACACUGGAACUGAGACACGGUCCAGACUCCUACGGGAGGCAGCAGUGGGGAAUAUUGGACAAUGGGCGCAAGCCUGAUCCAGCCAUGCCGCGUGUGUGAAGAAGGCCUUCGGGUUGUAAAGCACUUUUGUCCGGAAAGAAAAGCUUCGGGUUAAUAACCCGGAGUUAUGAACGGUACCGGAAGAAUAAGCACCGGCUAAC
Molecule: ribosomal RNA, 507 nt
Filed under: Lysobacter sp. CL3.39
Lineage: Bacteria; Pseudomonadati; Pseudomonadota; Gammaproteobacteria; Lysobacterales; Lysobacteraceae
Description: bacterial SSU rRNA
Rfam family: Bacterial small subunit ribosomal RNA
Source: RNAcentral